UUUCCUGGAAUAAACCCGUCUUUUUUAAGCUGCAGAGAACCCUUGAGGAGGGAACCCGCGGGUGUGCAAUAAAGCUCGAGAGUGAAGGGAAGUAGUGUACUGAAACUGUGUACCAGCUGAACUUGAUUCAUUUCAAGCCCAUGGCUGUGUUGCUCACUCAGCGUCUUCAGGUGGGGGAAAGCAGCUAGGAGAAAUGGCUGGGAAGUAGCAGCCUGGUAGCAGUGAAGGAAUUGAACAGUGAAGGGAGUGAUGCAGUAAGAGCAUGGCUGUGUGAGCAGAACACAUGGCAUAGGACAUCACAGCUUCCAAGCUCAUGCAGGGAUGUCCUGGUAUGGUUCCAUGUGAUUGCUCUACAAAGGUAUGCUUUGUAAUGGAGUGAGAACAAUUCUGGAGACUUCUACAUUGAAGCCAUCUGAAAACUAUUUUGAAGCUAUUGCAUAUUUUACAGCUACACCACUGGCAGGAAGUAUUCAUGUUAGUCAUUGAUCUUCUUUUCCCAAUACAGGUGGUAAGUAUGAUCAUUUAUUUUUCUUGAUCUGCAUCUCAUUUCAGUGUUAGUUUUGAACACAUUCAGCUAAAUUUUUCUCUACUUUGGAUAUCACCCUUGAGACGUCAUCUUUGUGAUCCACACUGAAUGAAAAUCAGCUAGAAAGCUUCCAAGCAGGUAUCUUUAUUAUAGAGAGGUUUAUAUAUUAUAUUAAGUUGGACUAUAGCAAAACAUAAAUGUACUUUAAUUACAUUAAUAAUUUAAAUAUUUGAUUUAAAUAAAGCACCAAGAGAACUUGA
Pezoporus occidentalis (night parrot) is the source of this 786-nucleotide long non-coding RNA. RefSeq lists it as uncharacterized. The record is from RefSeq and is a predicted model, not a curated record. NCBI's taxonomy places the organism in Eukaryota, Metazoa, Chordata, Aves, Psittaciformes, Psittacidae. The transcript has 2 exons.